GACGAACGCUGGCGGCGUGCUUAACACAUGCAAGUCGAACGGAAAGGCCCUGCUUUUGUGGGGUGCUCGAGUGGCGAACGGGUGAGUAACACGUGAGUAACCUGCCCUUGACUUUGGGAUAACUUCAGGAAACUGGGGCUAAUACCGGAUAGGAGCUCCUGCUGCAUGGUGGGGGUUGGGAGGUUUCGGCGGUUGGGGAUGGACUCGCGGCUUAUCAGCUUGUUGGUGGGGUAGUGGCUUACCAAGGCUUUGACGGGUAGCCGGCCUGAGAGGGUGACCGGCCACAUUGGGACUGAGAUACGGCCCAGACUCCUACGGGAGGCAGCAGUGGGGAAUAUUGCACAAUGGGCGGAAGCCUGAUGCAGCAACGCCGCGUGCGGGAUGACGGCCUUCGGGUUGUAAACCGCUUUCGCCUGUGACGAAGCGUGAGUGACGGUAAUGGGUAAAGAAGCACCGGCUAACUACGUG
This 468-nucleotide ribosomal RNA is filed under the name uncultured bacterium. RNAcentral's name for it is "partial 16S ribosomal RNA". It matches the Rfam family "Bacterial small subunit ribosomal RNA", at positions 28 to 507 of the family's 1533-position model. The record is from RNAcentral.